GGCCUUGACAUGCUGAGAACUUUCCAGAGAUGGAUUGGUGCCUUCGGGAACUCAGACACAGGUGCUGCAUGGCUGUCGUCAGCUCGUGUCGUGGGAUGUUGGGUUAAGUCCCGUAACGAGCGCAACCCUUGUCCUUAGUUACCAGCACGUAAUGGUGGGCACUCUAAGGAGACUGCCGGUGACAAACCGGAGGAAGGUGGGGAUGACGUCAAGUCAUCAUGGCCCUUACGGCCAGGGCUACACACGUGCUACAAUGGUCGGUACAAAGGGUUGCCAAGCCGCGAGGUGGAGCUAAUCCCAUAAAACCGAUCGUAGUCCGGAUCGCAGUCUGCAACUCGACUGCGUGAAGUCGGAAUCGCUAGUAAUCGUGAAUCAGAAUGUCACGGUGAAUACGUUCCCGGGCCUUGUACACACCGCCCGUCACACCAUGGGAGUGGGUUGCUCCAGAAGUAGCUAGUCUAACCUUCGGGGGGACGGUUACCACGGAGUGAUUCAUGACUGGGGUGAAGUCGUAACAAGGUAGGCGUAGAUGA
This 533-nucleotide ribosomal RNA is filed under the name uncultured bacterium. RNAcentral describes it as "bacterial SSU rRNA". It matches the Rfam family "Bacterial small subunit ribosomal RNA", at positions 977 to 1509 of the family's 1533-position model. The record is from RNAcentral.